Molecule: ribosomal RNA, 433 nt
Filed under: uncultured bacterium
Lineage: Bacteria
Description: partial 16S ribosomal RNA
Rfam family: Bacterial small subunit ribosomal RNA
Source: RNAcentral
AACGAACGCUGGCGGCAUGCCUAACACAUGCAAGUCGAACGAGACCUUCGGGUCUAGUGGCGCACGGGUGCGUAACGCAUGGGAACCUGCCCUUAGGUUCGGAAUAACUCCCCGAAAGGGGGGCUAAUACCGGAUAAUGUCUACGGACCAAAGAUUUAUCGCCUUUGGAUGGGCCCGCGUUGGAUUAGCUAGUUGGUAGGGUAAAAGCCUACCAAGGCGACGAUCCAUAGCUGGUCUGAGAGGAUGAUCAGCCACACUGGGACUGAGACACGGCCCAGACUCCUACGGGAAGCAGCAGUGGGGAAUAUUGGACAAUGGGCGAAAGCCUGAUCCAGCAAUGCCGCGUGAGUGAUGAAGGCCUUAGGGUUGUAAAGCUCUUUUACCCGGGAUGAUAAUGACAGUACCGGGAGAAUAAGCUCCGGCUAACUCCGUG